Molecule: long non-coding RNA, 209 nt
Filed under: Capsicum annuum
Lineage: Eukaryota; Viridiplantae; Streptophyta; Magnoliopsida; Solanales; Solanaceae
Description: long non-coding RNA (CANN_LNC014374)
Source: RNAcentral
GACCCCCGGCUCAAGACACGAGAUACCACACAAAUACAUAGUAAAGCACAGAAGCAGAUUACAUAACAUAAAUACGGCACCCAUAAGUAAUAUAAAAUAGAGGAAAGCAGAGGAAAGAACACAGAUUCGUAAUAAAACAUGGAACACGGAAGACGGAUUCAUAACAGGAAUAAAACCCCCACCAAGUAGUUUCCUACACUAGCGACCCA